This 429-nucleotide ribosomal RNA is filed under the name Fusobacteriota bacterium. RNAcentral's name for it is "Fusobacteria bacterium partial 16S ribosomal RNA". It matches the Rfam family "Bacterial small subunit ribosomal RNA", at positions 355 to 776 of the family's 1533-position model. The record is from RNAcentral. Lineage: Bacteria; Fusobacteriati; Fusobacteriota.
UGGGGAAUAUUGCGCAAUGGGCGAAAGCCUGACGCAGCGACGCCGCGUGAGGGAUGAAGGUUUUCGGAUCGUAAACCUCUGUCAGAAGGGAAGAAACCGCACUGUGCUAAUCAGCAGUGCCUUGACGGUACCUUCAAAGGAAGCACCGGCUAACUCCGUGCCAGCAGCCGCGGUAAUACGGAGGGUGCAAGCGUUAAUCGGAAUUACUGGGCGUAAAGCGCACGUAGGCUGCUUUGUAAGUCAGGGGUGAAAUCCCACGGCUCAACCGUGGAACAGCCUUUGAUACUGCUUAGCUUGAAUCCGGGAGAGGGUGGCGGAAUUCCAGGUGUAGGAGUGAAAUCCGUAGAUAUCUGGAGGAACAUCAGUGGCGAAGGCGGCCACCUGGACCGGUAUUGACGCUGAGGUGCGAAAGCGUGGGGAGCAAACAGG